AGCAGCCGCGGUAAUUCCAGCUCCAAUAGCGUAUAUUAAAGUUGCUGCAGUUAAAAGCUCGUAGUUGAAUUUCGGGACUAAUAUGUCGGUCGUGCCUCGGUACGUACUGGCUUAUUGGUUUCUCCUUUCUGAAGAACCAUGAUGUCAUUUAUUUGGUGUCGUGGGGAAUCAGGACUGUUACUUUGAAAAAUUAGAGUGUUUAAAGCAGGCUUACGCUUGAAUACAUUAGCAUGGAAUAAUGAAAUAGGACGUUUGAUUCUAUUUUGUUGGUUUCUAGGAUCGACGUAAUGAUUAAUAGGGAUAGUUGGGGGCAUUAGUAUUCAAUUGUCAGAGGUGAAAUUCUUGGAUUUAUUGAAGACUAACUACUGCGAAAGCAUUUGCCAAGGAUGUUUUCAUUAAUCAAGAACGAAAGUUAGGGGAUCGAAGACGAUCAGAUACCGUCGUAGUCUUAACCAUAAACUAUGCCGACUAGGGAUCGGAUGAUGUAAUUUUUAAUGACUCAUUCGGCGCCUUAGGGAAA
This 520-nucleotide unclassified non-coding RNA is filed under the name uncultured Glomus. RNAcentral describes it as "SSU rRNA". It matches the Rfam family "Eukaryotic small subunit ribosomal RNA", at positions 569 to 1097 of the family's 1831-position model. Lineage: Eukaryota; Fungi; Glomeromycota; Glomeromycetes; Glomerales; Glomeraceae. The record is from RNAcentral.